RNAcentral lists this ribosomal RNA (253 nucleotides) under uncultured bacterium. Its description in RNAcentral is "partial 16S ribosomal RNA". It matches the Rfam family "Bacterial small subunit ribosomal RNA", at positions 524 to 776 of the family's 1533-position model. The record is from RNAcentral.
AACGUAGGAGACAAACGUUAUCCGGAGUUACUGGGCGUAAAGGGCGUGUAGGCGGUUCGUUAAGUCUGGCGUGAAAGCUCUCGGCUAAACCGGGAGAGGUCGUUGGAUACUGGCAAACUAGAGGACGGUAGAGGCGUGUGGAAUUCCGGGUGUAGUGGUGAAAUGCGUAGAGAUCCGGAGGAACACCAGUGGCGAAGGCGGCUUACUGGUCCGGUUCUGACGCUGAGGCGCGAAAGCGUGGGGAGCAAACAGG